This 391-nucleotide ribosomal RNA is filed under the name Ceriana sp. A. RNAcentral describes it as "partial 12S ribosomal RNA". The record is from RNAcentral. Lineage: Eukaryota; Metazoa; Arthropoda; Insecta; Diptera; Syrphidae.
CGGGCGAUGUGUACAUAUUUUAGAGCUAAAAUCAAAAUAUUUAUCUUUAUAAAUUUACUAUCAAAUCCAAUUUCAUUAAAUUUUUCAUAUUUAAAUCCACAUAAAUAAAAUUUAUUGUAACCCAUUUUUACUUAAACAUAAACUACACCUUGAUUUGAUAUUAAUUUUUAUAUAAAUUAUAGAAAAUUAUUUUUCUUAUAAAAUAUUCCAAUAACAACGGUAUAUAAAUUGAAUCACAAAUUUAAGUAAGGUACAUCGUGGAUUAUCGAUUAUAAAACAGGUUCCUCUGAAUAGACUAAAAUACCGCCAAAUUUUUUAAGUUUCAAGAACAUAUCUAUUACUACUCAAAUUAUUUAUAAUUUACAUUUCAAAUAAUAGGGUAUCUAAUCCU